Molecule: ribosomal RNA, 277 nt
Filed under: uncultured bacterium
Lineage: Bacteria
Description: partial 16S ribosomal RNA
Rfam family: Bacterial small subunit ribosomal RNA
Source: RNAcentral
GACUAACGCUGGCGGCGUGCCUAACACAUGCAAGUCGAACGGACUGUAGCAAUACAGUUAGUGGCAGACGGGUGAGUAACACGUAGACAACGUACCCCUCCGCUGGGGAUAGCCACUGGAAACGGUGGGUAAAACCGAAUAGUCUUAUAUUGCGGCAUCGUGAUGUAAGUAAAACUACGGUGUGGAGGGAGCGGUUUGCGUCCUAUUAGCUAGUUGGUGGGGUAAUGGCCCACCAAGGCGACGAUGGGUAGCCGGUCUGAGAGGAUGAUCGGCCACA